AUCAAUUUCCCUGUUUCGUUCACACAAACAGGCAGGAGGAAGAGAGAGAGAGAUGAAUCAGCUCUCAUGGAGAUCUCUAAGAAAUGUCGUCAUUUGUUUCCAUUCCUGGGUUUGAGAUCUCUCUCCUGAUUUGUUCUUAAAGCAUCUCUAAAUGCAUGCGCUCCUCCAAUCAGAGACAGACACAUCCAACAAAACGUCAGUACUGGAGGAGUUUUUCCAGGCAGUCUCCUGGCGAAAGUCCAGCUCUUACCUGGAAUUAGCCAAAGCCUGGCUGUAAACAACACCAGAGAAGGGAAACUGCCCAAGAGACCAGCAGGAGGCAGGGGAAAUUAACACCCAGGAAAAGGUUGGAAAGUUGAGAGUUCUCAUCUUCUGUCUUGGCAUGAUAUAUUAUAGUUUGCAGGUCCUGUCAUCAAUCAUGGUAGAAGGUGCAUUUACUCACUGACAUUAAUUUGUCAAUCUUCGAUGAUAUUGUCAAGUUUGUGGAUGUUGGACCACCUGGACCAUCCUUUCAGGGUCUUGUUUAAUCAAACAAUAUUAGACUGGGAGGAAUCCAGUUUUUCAUCUUCUGUGGAAACAAAUGUAGAACCACUCUAUCAAAACAACGUACCCACAGAUGCAAAAUUUGAAGUCAAGGUUCUUUGAUAAUACCUCCCCCAUAUACUUUGUACAGUUUCAUGAUGAUUGUAAUGUGGUUAAGCUGAUUGGAAAGGGGAUGGAGAAACUAGAAAGACUUUGCUUUAUUGUGUCUGUUCCAGGAGUUCAGUUCAGUGUUUAGCUGUGGGUAUCUGUCUCUGCUUCCAUCAAUCCCUGGAUGAAGUUUCCAGGAUGACAUAUAAGGAAAUUGGAUGAUUCCAGUCACAUGGAGAAGGAUAGAAGCCUAUGAAAACAAUGAGGAUCUUCAUGCAUCAGAGUGCACCAAGGAGAUAUUUAUCUCUUUGUGCCAUAAUUGCUUGAAAAACUUCAAAAAGUGUCCUUUAACUAUUUCAAUAAAGAUGAAUUUGUAAUAUA
This is a long non-coding RNA of Mesocricetus auratus (golden hamster), 1011 nucleotides long. RefSeq lists it as uncharacterized. NCBI's taxonomy places the organism in Eukaryota, Metazoa, Chordata, Mammalia, Rodentia, Cricetidae. The record is from RefSeq and is a predicted model, not a curated record. The transcript has 6 exons.